GGGGGCGACAGGUCUCGACGGGGGAAGCGCAAGCAGGAGCUGCCGGGCGAGAUUCCAUCGGCUCGUUAAACGGUGGACCUUUAAAAUAACUGCAAACGAUAAUUACGCUCUAGCUGCUUAAUUAAAGCUGCUACAUCCAACCGGCCGAUUCUCGCUACGCUUGUUGGGUGUCGACUUAAGCGAGAUACUCUGAAAUCCUCUGCUCAUGGGACUCAGGGGAAACUCAAGUGAGCUAGCCGGUACGCAUCCUGUCCCUGGGAGUCGUAUUCGGCGAAGUUAAAGCAGGGACUAUCUCGGUAGAUGCUCGUGUAAGUGUUCCUUCGGACGGUGGGUUCAAAUCCCCCCGCCUCCACCA
This 355-nucleotide transfer-messenger RNA is filed under the name bacterium. RNAcentral describes it as "DTU086 sp001513335 Standard tmRNA". It matches the Rfam family "transfer-messenger RNA". From Rfam's summary of the family: Bacterial tmRNA, also known as 10Sa RNA or SsrA, is named for its dual tRNA and mRNA-like properties. Its role is to liberate the mRNA from a stalled ribosome. The record is from RNAcentral. RNAcentral also lists the same sequence under 1 other name.